Molecule: long non-coding RNA, 300 nt
Organism: Heterocephalus glaber (naked mole-rat)
Lineage: Eukaryota; Metazoa; Chordata; Mammalia; Rodentia; Bathyergidae
Source: Ensembl
CUCAGAGAAGGUGGCUGACCCCAACCAUCCCAGGGUAAUACACACAGAUGGUGUCUCCUGCUCUGCCGCCUCCUUGUAAUCACCAAAUAAUGCUGCCAGUUGAGCAGCCUUGCUCCAUGACACUCUUCCACCAUGAUGUCUUUGCCUUGGAGCCAGCUGAUCAUGGACUGAAUCCUCUGAAACCAUGAGUUAAGUUAAAACUCUCCUCCUUUAGAUGUGUAGAGUAUUGUGUCUCAGAAACUGGAAAGCUGACUAGUACAUCCUUUGCCCCUUGAGUAUGAACCAGACUUGAAAACUCGG